CCUACGGGAGGCAGCAGUGGGGAAUUUUGGACAAUGGGCGAAAGCCUGAUCCAGCAAUGCCGCGUGUGGGAAGAAGGCCUUCGGGUUGUAAACCACUUUUGUACGGAACGAAACGGUUCGCUUUAAUACAGUGGGCUAAUGACGGUACCGUAAGAAUAAGCACCGGCUAACUACGUGCCAGCAGCCGCGGUAAUACGUAGGGUGCGAGCGUUAAUCGGAAUUACUGGGCGUAAAGCGUGCGCAGGCGGUUAUAUAAGACAGUUGUGAAAUCCCCGGGGCUCAACCUGGGAAUUGCAUCUGUGACUGUAUAGCUAGAGUACGGUAGAGGGGGAUGGAAUUCCGCGUGUAGCAGUGAAAUGCGUAGAUAUGCGGAGGAACACCGAUGGCGAAGGCAAUCCCCUGGACCUGUACUGACGCUCAUGCACGAAAGCGUGGGGAGCAAACAGGAUUAGAUACCCUGGUAGUCCACGCCCUAAACGAUGUCAACUGGUUGUUGGGUGCAUAGUACUCAGUACGAAGACUACGCGUGAGUAGUACGCCGUCGGGAGGUACGGCCGGCGACGGUUAGGUAAACGUUAAACGGUAAAGUUAGUACGGCGUGAGACGUGCCGACGGACGACGACGAGGGAGGAGG
RNAcentral lists this ribosomal RNA (634 nucleotides) under uncultured bacterium. RNAcentral's name for it is "bacterial SSU rRNA". The stretch from base 1 to 540 matches the Rfam family "Bacterial small subunit ribosomal RNA", at positions 338 to 873 of the family's 1533-position model. The record is from RNAcentral.